RNAcentral lists this non-coding RNA (31 nucleotides) under Homo sapiens (human). The record is from RNAcentral. Lineage: Eukaryota; Metazoa; Chordata; Mammalia; Primates; Hominidae.
UUCUUUGCAGUGCGUGCUCAACAGCCCCAGC